UCGGGUGGCCGCUGCGCACGCAAGUGAGUAGAGGAAAGUCCGGACAUCACAAGGCAGCGUGUCCUUUGAAAGAGGGAGACACCCGGAGCCAAUGCCGGGUGGCCGGAAAGUGCCACAGAAAACAAACCGCCCGCAAGGGUAAGGGUGAAAAGGUGGGGUAAGAGCCCACCGCUCCGAAGGUAACGACGGAGGCACGGAAAACCCCGCGCGAUGCAAGACAAACAGGGGAAGGGUAGCCUGCCCGCUCAGAAUCCCCGGGUUAUAGUUGCACCCUGCUAUAAACGUAGGGCACGCCCCGGCUACGGAGCGCGAGAAAAAUGGUCACACAGCCCGCAAGGGCGGACAGAAUCCGGCUUACAGA
This 361-nucleotide RNase P RNA is filed under the name uncultured Akkermansia sp. RNAcentral's name for it is "Bacterial RNase P class A". It matches the Rfam family "Bacterial RNase P class A". From Rfam's summary of the family: Ribonuclease P (RNase P) is a ubiquitous endoribonuclease, found in archaea, bacteria and eukarya as well as chloroplasts and mitochondria. The record is from RNAcentral. Lineage: Bacteria; Pseudomonadati; Verrucomicrobiota; Verrucomicrobiia; Verrucomicrobiales; Akkermansiaceae.